GAAACGACUGCUAAGACUGGAUAGGAGACAAGAAGGCAUCUUUUUGUUUUUAAAAGACCUAGCAAUAGGUAUGCUUAGGGAGGAGCUUGCGUCACAUUAGUUAGUUGGUGGGGUAAAGGCUUACCAAGACUAUGAUGUGUAGCCGGGCUGAGAGGUUGAACGGCCACAUUGGGACUGAGACACGGCCCAAACUCCUACGGGAGGCAGCAGUAGGGAAUUUUCGGCAAUGGAGGAAACUCUGACCGAGCAACGCCGCGUGAACGAUGAAGUAUUUCGGUACGUAAAGUUCUUUUAUUAGGGAAGAAUAAAUGAUGGAAAAAUCAUUCUGACGGUACCUAAUGAAUAAGCCCCGGCUAACUAUGUGCCAGCAGCCGCGGUAAUACAUAGGGGGCAAGCGUUAUCCGGAAUUAUUGGGCGUAAAGGGUGCGUAGGCGGUUAAAUAAGUUUAUGGUCUAAGUGCAAUGCUUAACAUUGUGAUGCUAUAAAAACUGUUUAGCUAGAGUAAGAUAGAGGCAAGUGGAAUUCCAUGUGUAGUGGUAAAAUGCGUAAAUAUAUGGAGGAACACCAGUAGCGAAGGCGGCUUGCUGGGUCUUUACUGACGCUGAGGCACGAAAGCGUGGGGAGCAAACAGGAUUAGAUACCCUGGUAGUCCACGCCGUAAACGAUGAGUACUAAAUGUUGGGUAAAACCAGUGUUGAAGUUAACACAUUAAGUACUCCGCCUGAGUAGUACGUACGCAAGUAUGAAACUUAAAGGAAUUGACGGGACUCCGCACAAGCGGUGGAUCAUGUUGUUUAAUUCGAAGGUACCCGAAAAACCUCACCAGGUCUUGACAUGCUUCUGCAAAGCUGUAGAAACACAGUGGAGGUUAUCAGUUGCACAGGUGGUGCAUGGUUGUCGUCAGCUCGUGUCGUGAGAUGUUGGGUUAAGUCCCGCAACGAGCGCAACCCUUAUUGUUAGUUGCCAGCACGUAAUGGUGGGGACUUUAGCAAGACUGCCAGUGAUAAAUUGGAGGAAGGUGGGGACGACGUCAAAUCAUCAUGCCCCUUAUGACCUGGGCUACAAACGUGAUACAAUGGCUGUUACAAAGGGUAGCUGAAACGCAAGUUUUUGGCGAAUCUCAAAAAAACAGUCUCAGUUCGGAUUGAAGUCUGCAACUCGACUUCAUGAAGUUGGAAUCGCUAGUAAUCGCGAAUCAGCAUGUCGCGGUGAAUACGUUCUCGGGGUUUGUACACACCGCCCGUCA
This 1246-nucleotide ribosomal RNA is filed under the name Clover phyllody phytoplasma. RNAcentral describes it as "bacterial SSU rRNA". It matches the Rfam family "Bacterial small subunit ribosomal RNA", at positions 153 to 1399 of the family's 1533-position model. RNAcentral also lists the same sequence under 5 other names. The record is from RNAcentral. Lineage: Bacteria; Bacillati; Mycoplasmatota; Mollicutes; Acholeplasmatales; Acholeplasmataceae.